GCUCUCAUUUUUUGGACCUUCCAUCUUGUAUCUUCUUCCAGAGGAUUAUCAAUAUGGACCCUGUAUCCAGAGGAAUGGAUAUAACAGAUUCAGAGCUUGCCAUCAUUCAGAAGUAAUAACUGACUAAUGCAAAUUGUUGGGGCUAUGAUUCAAGAUUAUGCAGGUACCCAACUAAGAACUUUCUCUUUGUUCUUCUCUGGAUAUGGAUAGCACUCUUUCUCAUAAGUUCCUCUGGACUGCUACUAGUAGAAAAGUCUGUUACAUUUGAUUGUGCCACAAUGGUUCAGUUAAUGAAUAAUAAUUUGAAAGCAAGCAAUAAUAUCUGUUUCUGCUCACUAAAAUAGUUACCAAGUCCACAGGAGACAGAAAUGGCAUCUACUAUCUUUGCUGAGAAAAUCCUAUGGGCAGUAUUGGUAUGCUACGGACCAAGGGGUCAUGAAGAGCUGGGUGAGGCUGAAUGACUGAACACUGAUUAUUUAUUACUCCCAUUAGAAUGUAAGCUCCUUGUGAGUAGGAAUUAUUUUAUUCUUUGUACUUGUAACCUGUGAAUAUUGGAUUUGGCUCUUCCCUGAUUGUAACAACGAAGGUACUUAGCUCUUCCUUGGUUGUGAAGAUUAAAUUAUAAUCUCCUGUCUAUUUGUUGAUUUCAUUCCCAAAUUUGUAAACACAGUAUUUAAAGUUGAUUAGGAAGAUCUGCCCAUGUUAGAUCUAAUCACCAAAGGUGUAACUAAUCCACUUAAUCAUGAAGUGAGAGGUCUGUGACCCACUUAGUGGGUAACAAAUUAGAAUCAACUAAUUGCCUUCUGGGCAGUCCUAGAGCAGAGUAUCAGCUGUGAUUAGUAGAUAUGGAAUUAGGGGAAGUGAGGCAAGAAAAAAGAUCUUUAAAAGAGACAAGGACCUGAACAAGGUUGGUCUGCUGGGAGUUAGUUGUUGGAAGUGGUUCCUCUGGGAGUUUGAAAGAGAUACAGUUGGAGUGGAGUCUUCUGUAAGAAGUAGUUCUAAUGGAGUUGAGGUUGAUAAAAGAAUCUGCUGAUUGAACUGUUAUGUGGUGAGUGUAAAGGCUGACUUCCUUUCCUUGGACUUUCUGGGGCAUCAGCCUCCAGGAAAGGGCCAUUGAGACUCCCUUCCCCUGGCUGAGUCCUUAGAUCCUUAGAGUUCCUACCUAGGUCAGAGGAAGCUCUCUCCUCUCUGUCUCUGUCUCUGUCUCUGUCUCUGUCUCUGUCUCUGUCUCUGUCUCUGUCUCUGUCUCUGUCUCUGUCUCUGUCUCUGUCUCUGUCUCUCCUUUUCUUCCCUUUGUCUUUUCCUUAAUAUUUUCCCUCUGUUGUAAAAUAAACUACCAUAAAUUCCUUUCUAAUUUUAGUAA
Molecule: long non-coding RNA, 1363 nt
Filed under: Monodelphis domestica (gray short-tailed opossum)
Lineage: Eukaryota; Metazoa; Chordata; Mammalia; Didelphimorphia; Didelphidae
Description: lncRNA (ENSMODG00000039056.1)
Source: RNAcentral